Molecule: ribosomal RNA, 852 nt
Filed under: Triticum aestivum (bread wheat)
Lineage: Eukaryota; Viridiplantae; Streptophyta; Magnoliopsida; Poales; Poaceae
Description: partial small subunit ribosomal RNA
Source: RNAcentral
AUGCAGUCAAUGGCACCGCUCAGCAAUCUGAAAUCCCUAAGAAGACUAGAUGUCAGAAGAUGCAGCAUCAGGUGCCAUGGACUGCAGGACCUCGCGUGCCUCCAAUCACUUACAGUAAAAGAAUGUGGCAACUUCUUUCUGCGGCCCAUCGAAGCAGCUCACACCAUCAUCAAUCCUUUGCCUUCUUCCCUCGAGGAACUUGAGAUUGAUGGAGAGUCAAGCAUGGAGUUAAUGGCUCUGCUCUCGAACCUCACUUGUCUCACCGAUCUUGUACUGGUGAACUCUGAGAAUUUAACAGUGGAUGGUUUUAAUCCUCCCAUCACAGUCAACCUCAACAGUUUGAAGAUGUACAACAGAGGAAAUUGUCUUAGCCGUUCUAUAUCAGCGGAUUUGUUCUCGGAAUUGGUGGUAGCAAGGACCAACCUGUUAUCGCCUGCAGACAACUGUCAACUACGAGAACUUACAGUGGAUUGCAUCUCAGCAGUGCUUGUGGCUCCCAUCUGUAGCCUCCUUGCCGCUACCCUCCACACUUUAGAAUUCUGGUAUGAUCACCGGGCAGAAAGCUUCACGGAAGAGGAAGAGAGAGCUCUUCAGCUCCUCACCUCACUCCGUUUCAUCAAUUUUAUGGAUUGCCCUAAUCUGUUGUGCCUUCCUCAAGGCCUACACAGCCUUCCUUCUCUUAAGACACUAUUUGUCCAAGAUUGUCCUAAAAUCCAAUCUCUGCACAAGGGGGACUUUCCCACUUCACUGGAGUGUCUAUUAGUGCAGGGUUGCAGUCCCGGGCUACAAGAGCAAGCCAAGCAAUUAAAAGGAACAAAACCAGAUUUUAAUGUGAUACUUGAACUUGAGUAG